RNAcentral lists this ribosomal RNA (586 nucleotides) under uncultured bacterium. RNAcentral describes it as "partial 16S ribosomal RNA". It matches the Rfam family "Bacterial small subunit ribosomal RNA", at positions 355 to 937 of the family's 1533-position model. The record is from RNAcentral.
UGGGGAAUUUUGGACAAUGGGCGAAAGCCUGAUCCAGCAAUGCCGCGUGUGUGAAGAAGGCCUUCGGGUUGUAAAGCACUUUUGUCCGGAAAGAAAUCCUUGGCUCUAAUACAGUCGGGGGAUGACGGUACCGGAAGAAUAAGCACCGGCUAACUACGUGCCAGCAGCCGCGGUAAUACGUAGGGUGCAAGCGUUAAUCGGAAUUACUGGGCGUAAAGCGUGCGCAGGCGGUUGCUAAGACCGAUGUGAAAUCCCCGGGCUCAACCUGGGAACUGCAUUGGUGACUGGCAGGCUAGAGUAUGGCAGAGGGGGGUAGAAUUCCACGUGUAGCAGUGAAAUGCGUAGAGAUGUGGAGGAAUACCGAUGGCGAAGGCAGCCCCCUGGGCCAAUACUGACGCUCAUGCACGAAAAGCGUGGGGGAGCAAAACAGGAUUAGAUACCCUGGUAGUCCACGCCCUAAACGAUGUCAACUAGUUGUUGGGGAUUCAUUUCCUUAGUAACGUAGCUAACGCGUGAAGUUGACCGCCUGGGGAGUACGGUCGCAAGAUUAAAACUCAAAGGAAUUGACGGGGUCAUAGCUGUUUCC